AAUGAACGCUGGCGGCGUGGCUUAUACAUGCAAGUCGAGCGAAAACACCGCAAGCGGGGUCAGCGGCGGAAGGGACCGGAAGGGGUAGAUACUCUGCCCUCAGGUCCGGGAUAGCUGCGGGAAACUGCAGGUAAUACCAGAUAACAUCGCCGGAUCAAAGGAAUGAUUCCGCCUGAGGAUGAGUCUGCGUCCUAUUAGCUUGUUGGUGGGGUAAUGGCCUACCAAGGCAAUGAUGUGUAGCAGGGGUGUGACGACGACCCGCGUCAUUGGGACUAAGAGACUGCGCCGACAACGGCGGGUGGCUGCAGGGAAUCUUCCGCGAUGAGGGGAGCAAGGCUGGCGGAGCGGCGCGGCGGUUGUGAAGAAGUCCGUAGCGUUGUAAACCACUGUUAGGGGAGAAGAAAUGUAGGUGGGUUUACGCACCUGUUUGCGGUAGCCUAAGAGGAAGGAACGGCUAACUUCGUG
Molecule: ribosomal RNA, 465 nt
Filed under: uncultured bacterium
Lineage: Bacteria
Description: partial 16S ribosomal RNA
Rfam family: Bacterial small subunit ribosomal RNA
Source: RNAcentral